RNAcentral lists this ribosomal RNA (903 nucleotides) under uncultured bacterium. Its description in RNAcentral is "bacterial SSU rRNA". It matches the Rfam family "Bacterial small subunit ribosomal RNA", at positions 10 to 884 of the family's 1533-position model. The record is from RNAcentral.
AGUUUGAUCAUGGCUCAGAAUGAAACGCUGGCGGCGUGCUUAACACAUGCAAGUCGUACGAGAACUCUUUAGCUUGCUAAAGAUAGUAAAGUGGCGCACGGGUGAGUAACGCGUGGGUAAUCUACCUUCGAAUCGGGGAUAACAUUGCGAAAGCGAUGCUAAUACCGGAUAAUAUCUCAAAACCAUAAGGUUUUAAGAUCAAAAAUGGCCUCUACAUGUAAGCUGUUGUUUGGAGAUGAGCCCGCGUACCAUUAGCUUGUUGGUAGGGUAAUGGCCUACCAAGGCAACGAUGGUUAGCUGGUCUGAGAGGAUGAUCAGCCACACUGGAACUGACACACGGUCCAGACUCCUACGGGAGGCAGCAGUGAGGAAUUUUGCGCAAUGGGGGAAACCCUGACGCAGCAACGCCGCGUGAGUGAUGAAGGCCUUCGGGUCGUAAAGCUCUGUCAAGUGGGAAGAAAAUGAAAAAUGUUAAUAGCAUUUUUCACUGACGGUACCACUGAAGGAAGCACCGGCUAACUCCGUGCCAGCAGCCGCGGUAAUACGGAGGGUGCAAGCGUUAUUCGGAAUUAUUGGGCGUAAAGGGCGCGUAGGCGGCCUUUUAAGUCAGAUGUGAAAGCCCGGGGCUUAACCCCGGAAGUGCAUUUGAAACUAAAGGGCUUGAGUAUGGGAGAGGGAAGUGGAAUUCCUGGUGUAGCGGUGAAAUGCGUAGAUAUCAGGAGGAACACCGGUGGCGAAGGCGACUUCCUGGACCAAUACUGACGCUAAGGCGCGAAGGCGUGGGUAGCAAACAGGAUUAGAUACCCUGGUAGUCCACGCAGUAAACGGUGAACACUAGGUGUAGCGGGUAUUGACCCCUGCUGUGCCGCAGCUAACGCAUUAAGUUCCCGCCUGGAGACGGAG